UGCCUGCCCAGUGACUCUGUUUAACGGCCGCGGUAUUCUGACCGUGCAAAGGUAGCAUAAUCACUUGUCCUUUAAAUAGGGACUAGUAUGAACGGCAAAACGAAAAUUUAACGUCUCCUUUAUCUAGUCAAUAAAACUGAUCUUUUCGUACAAAAGCGAAAAUAUUAAUAUAAGACGAGAAGACCCUAUGGAGCUUUAAACACGUCAUCAACUGUAAAUUAGAACUACACCCAUGAUCGACUGUUUUCGGUUGGGGCGACCACGGAGAAAAUAAAACCUCCGAAUUAAAUGCUUAGAAUACACACCAAUGCGCUAGGAUAUCUAAAUUUAUUGACCCAAUAAACUUGAUCAACGAACCAAGUUACCCUAGGGAUAACAGCGCAAUCUUAUCUGAGAGUCCCUAUCGAAGAGAAGGUUUACGACCUCGAUGUUGGAUCAGGAUAUCCAAGUAGUGCAACCGCUACUAACGGUUUGUUUGUUCAACAAAUAAAAUCCUACGUGAUCUGU
RNAcentral lists this ribosomal RNA (507 nucleotides) under Boulengerula boulengeri (Usambara bluish-gray caecilian). RNAcentral's name for it is "partial 16S ribosomal RNA". It matches the Rfam family "Bacterial large subunit ribosomal RNA", at positions 1856 to 2608 of the family's 2925-position model. The record is from RNAcentral. Lineage: Eukaryota; Metazoa; Chordata; Amphibia; Gymnophiona; Herpelidae.